CGGACGGGUGAGUAACGCGUGGGUAACCUGCCUUACACAGGGGGAUAACACCUGGAAACAGGUGCUAAUACCGCAUAAGCGCACAGCUUCGCAUGAAGCGGUGUGAAAAACUCUGGUGGUAUACGAUGGUUCCGCGUCUGAUUAGCUAGUUGGUGGGGUAAUGGCCUACCAAGGCAACGAUCAGUAGCCGGCCUGAGAGGGUGAACGGCCACAUUGGGACUGAGACACGGCCCAAACUCCUACGGAAGGCAGCAG
This 255-nucleotide ribosomal RNA is filed under the name uncultured bacterium. RNAcentral describes it as "partial 16S ribosomal RNA". It matches the Rfam family "Bacterial small subunit ribosomal RNA", at positions 99 to 354 of the family's 1533-position model. The record is from RNAcentral.